Myotis lucifugus (little brown bat) is the source of this 1405-nucleotide long non-coding RNA. RefSeq lists it as uncharacterized. Lineage: Eukaryota; Metazoa; Chordata; Mammalia; Chiroptera; Vespertilionidae. The record is from RefSeq and is a predicted model, not a curated record. The transcript is spliced from 2 exons.
CCCCACACUGGGGAUGGAGCCCGCAACCUGGGCAUGUGCCCUGAUGGAGAAUAGAUCUGUGACCUCCUAGUUCAUAGGUCUAUGCUUAACCACUGAGCUACGUUGGCCGGAGCAAAGAAUAAUCAAAACAAUUGUGAAAGAGAAGAACAAAGUUGGAGGCCUUAUGACCUGAUUUCAAGAUUAACUAGAAACCUCUGGUUAUUAGAAAUCAUGGGAUCAGCAAAAAGAUAAACAUAGAUCAAAGGAACAGAAGAGAAAGUUUGAAAUGAGAUACAUUUGGUCAGUUCAUGUUUAGCAAAGGUGCCAAGGUAAUUCAGUGAAUUAUAUGACAGACUCUUAUAACUCAAAAAUCACAAAAAAUAACUCAAUGAAAAUGGACAGAUGAAGAGACGCUUCACAAGAGAAGACAUAUGAGUGGUCACUAGACCCAUGCAAAGAUGCUCCAGUCAGUGGUCCUCAGGAAAUGCAAGUUAAGGCCACAAGUGAGACGCUACUACAAACCUGGUGCUACAGCCAACAUGAAAACGCAUCAAAAUACCACGUGCUGGGGUCUACCCAGGAGAAGUGAAAACACAUGUCCACAAAAAGACGAGCACAUGGAUGCUCGCCGCAGCUUUAGUCACAACAGCCCCAAAAGUGGAACAACCCAAUGUCCACUGACAGGGGCACGAAGAAGCAAAACCUCACAUCCACACAAUGCGAUACCCCAGAGCAGCAGAGAGAGAACAGACUGUUGAUGCGCGCAACCACAUCGAUGCAUCGAGAAAGUAUCAUCUGAGUGAGAGACACCAAGCAUGGAAGACUAUACACUGUAUGGCCUGUUUCUAGUAAAUUCGAGAAAACCACAGAGGCAGGUAGCAGACAGUGGCUGCCUGAGGUGGGUGGGUAUCUGGACUGGAUGCAAAGGGGCAUAAAGGGAAUUUGGGUGAUGGAAGUCAGUGUUCUAAAACUGGAUCAUGUGGGCUGGUUGUAGGCCAGUAGAGUAUAUAUGCAUUUAUCAAAACCCACUGAACUAUACACUUAAAGUAGGUCCAAUUUUUUUUUUAGUGUGUGAAUUUUCCUAUACAAUAAAAACCUAAUAUGCAAAUCAACAAACGGUGGAAUGACCGGUGGAACGACUGGUCACUAUGAUGUGCACUGGCCACCAGGGGGCAGAUGCUCAAUGCAGGAGCUGCCCCCAGCCGGCAGGCCCCAGGGUCCUCCCCACCCGGUCCUCCCCACCUGAUUGCCCUGCCAGUUGCCUCCCACAGACCAGCAGUGGCGGGGAGCGAGCAGGCAGGCGGUUAGGAGUGAGGAAUCUCAGAUUGCGAGAGGGCGCAGGCCAGGCUGAGGGACCCUUCCACCCCCGUGCAUGAAUUUCGUGCAUCAGGCCUCCAGUAACUCAAUAAAACAAAGUCUAACCUGG